GUGGGGAAUCUUGCGCAAUGGGCGAAAGCCUGACGCAGCCAUGCCGCGUGAAUGAUGAAGGUCUUAGGAUUGUAAAAUUCUUUCACCGGGGAAGAUAAUGACGGUACCCGGAGAAGAAGCCCCGGCUAACUUCGUGCCAGCAGCCGCGGUAAUACGAAGGGGGCUAGCGUUGCUCGGAAUUACUGGGCGUAAAGGGCGCGUAGGCGGACAUUUAAGUCAGAGGUGAAAGCCCAGGGCUCAACCUUGGAAUUGCCUUUGAUACUGGAUGUCUUGAGUUCGGGAGAGGUGAGUGGAAUGCCGAGUGUAGAGGUGAAAUUCGUAGAUAUUCGGCGGAACACCAGUGGCGAAGGCGACUCACUGGCCCGAUACUGACGCUGAGGCGCGAAAGCGUGGGGAGCAAACAGGAUUAGAAACCCGAGUAGUCC
RNAcentral lists this ribosomal RNA (425 nucleotides) under uncultured bacterium. RNAcentral's name for it is "bacterial SSU rRNA". It matches the Rfam family "Bacterial small subunit ribosomal RNA", at positions 354 to 796 of the family's 1533-position model. The record is from RNAcentral.